Molecule: ribosomal RNA, 400 nt
Filed under: Staphylococcus warneri
Lineage: Bacteria; Bacillati; Bacillota; Bacilli; Caryophanales; Staphylococcaceae
Description: bacterial SSU rRNA
Rfam family: Bacterial small subunit ribosomal RNA
Source: RNAcentral
GGGAUUGGCGGCGUGCCUAUACUGCAAGUCGAGCGACAGAUAAGGAGCUUGCUCCUUUGACGUUAGCGGCGGACGGGUGAGUAACACGUGGAUAACCUACCUAUAAGACUGGGAUAACUUCGGGAAACCGGAGCUAAUACCGGAUAACAUAUUGAACCGCAUGGUUCAAUAGUGAAAGGCGGCUUUGCUGUCACUUAUAGAUGGAUCCGCGCCGUAUUAGCUAGUUGGUAAGGUAACGGCUUACCAAGGCAACGAUACGUAGCCGACCUGAGAGGGUGAUCGGCCACACUGGAACUGAGACACGGUCCAGACUCCUACGGGAGGCAGCAGUAGGGAAUCUUCCGCAAUGGGCGAAAGCCUGACGGAGCAACGCCGCGUGAGUGAUGAAGGUCUUCGGAUC